Molecule: unclassified non-coding RNA, 75 nt
Filed under: Variovorax sp. CF079
Lineage: Bacteria; Pseudomonadati; Pseudomonadota; Betaproteobacteria; Burkholderiales; Comamonadaceae
Source: RNAcentral
AGGAGCCGUAUGCGGUAGUGCCGCACGUACGGAUCUGUGCGGGGGGCGGGGAGUAAUCCCCGUCCCUACCGCGAC